Molecule: transfer RNA, 64 nt
Filed under: Trioza frangulae
Lineage: Eukaryota; Metazoa; Arthropoda; Insecta; Hemiptera; Triozidae
Description: tRNA-Asp
Source: RNAcentral
AGAAAUUAGUUAAUUCCAUAAUAUUGAGCUGUCAAAUCAAAGUAAUAUUUAAUAUAUUUCUUUA